Molecule: long non-coding RNA, 592 nt
Organism: Mytilus californianus (California mussel)
Lineage: Eukaryota; Metazoa; Mollusca; Bivalvia; Mytilida; Mytilidae
Exons: 2
Source: RefSeq, a predicted model, not a curated record
AUUUAGGAAGAUUGCUGUUUGCAUGUGUUUUGGAUUGCAUAAUUCUGAUUAUAGCAAGGGAUGCAUGAUGCAAAUUAAAUCAGAAGAAUCAACCAUCUGAAGAAAAACUGAGCAGUGGCGGAUCCAGGGGGAGGGUUCCAGGAGUUGGAACCCCCAUUAUUCUGACGAUCAAUGCAUUUGAAUGAGGACAUAUGGUUGGACCCCCUCCCCCUAUCCUGAGUUAGGAACCCCCCCUUUUGAAAAUAGCUGGAUUCACCCCUGCUGAGGUCAUCUUUAAAAGUCAAACCGCACUUUUUGAAGUCCAGCUGGACUUUAUAGAGUUCAGCUGGACUUUUUAAAGUUCAGCCAGACUUUGUAAAGUCCGGCUGAACUUUAUAAAGUCCAUAUUUUUGCCAGAAAUGCCGGCUGGAUUUUUUUUCAGACGUACUUUUAUUAAAGUCCAGCUGGACUUUAUGAACCGGACUCCUGCUAAUUUAAAUAUUUCGAGCCGGUUUACGGCUAAUUUCGCUGAAAGUCCAGCCGGGGUAUCUAUUAUAAGCAAUUCAAAGAAAAGUCCAAAUGAAUAUUAUAAGUACGGUUCUCAGUACGGCUA